GCGUUAGGAAUCUGCCUAUUAGUGGGGGACAACAUUCCGAAAGGAAUGCUAAUACCGCAUACGUCCUACGGGAGAAAGCAGGGGACCUUCGGGCCUUGCGCUAAUAGAUGAGCCUAAGUCGGAUUAGCUAGUUGGUGGGGUAAAGGCCUACCAAGGCGACGAUCUGUAGCGGGUCUGAGAGGAUGAUCCGCCACACUGGGACUGAGACACGGCCCAGACUCCUACGGGAGGCAGCAGUGGGGAAUAUUGGACAAUGGGGGGAACCCUGAUCCAGCCAUGCCGCGUGUGUGAAGAAGGCCUUAUGGUUGUAAAGCACUUUAAGCGAGGAGGAGGCUACUAGUAUUAAUACUACUGGAUAGUGGACGUUACUCGCAGAAUAAGCACCGGCUAACUCUGUGCCAGCAGCCGCGGUAAUACAGAGGGUGCGAGCGUUAAUCGGAUUUACUGGGCGUAAAGCGUGCGUAGGCGGCCAUUUAAGUCAAAUGUGAAAUCCCCGAGCUUAACUUGGGAAUUGCAUUCGAUACUGGAUGGCCUAGAGUAUGGGAGAGGAUGGUAGAAUUCCAGGUGUAGCGGUGAAAUGCGUAGAGAUCUGGAGGAAUACCGAUGGCGAUGGCAGCCAUCUGGCCUAAUACUGACGCUGAGGUACGAAAGCAUGGGGAGCAAACAGGAAUUAGAUACC
This 679-nucleotide ribosomal RNA is filed under the name Acinetobacter sp. 845D1. RNAcentral's name for it is "bacterial SSU rRNA". It matches the Rfam family "Bacterial small subunit ribosomal RNA", at positions 115 to 786 of the family's 1533-position model. The record is from RNAcentral. Lineage: Bacteria; Pseudomonadati; Pseudomonadota; Gammaproteobacteria; Moraxellales; Moraxellaceae.